UACGGAGGGUGCAAACGUUGCUCGGAAUCAUUGGGCGUAAAGCGCACGUAGGCGGCCCGUUAAGUCGGAUGUGAAAUCCCUCGGCUCAACCGAGGACGUGCAUUCGAUACUGGCAGGCUUGAAUAUGGAAGAGGGUCGCGGAAUUCCCGGUGUAGAGGUGAAAUUCGUAGAUAUCGGGAGGAACACCAGUGGCGAAGGCGGAGACCUGGGCCGAUACUGACGCUGAGGUGCGAAAGCGUGGGGAGCAAACAGG
This 253-nucleotide ribosomal RNA is filed under the name uncultured bacterium. Its description in RNAcentral is "partial 16S ribosomal RNA". It matches the Rfam family "Bacterial small subunit ribosomal RNA", at positions 524 to 776 of the family's 1533-position model. The record is from RNAcentral.